UAAUUUCACCAAUAGUUUCUUUUCCUUCCUUCCUCCUCCUAUUCUUCUUCCUCCUCCUCCUCUUCUCUUAUUCUUUUAAUAAGAGCAUUCCAAGAGCUAGCUACUCAGGGAAUGUUCAGCUGUCUAAUGAUGCUGUCUAUGUCUAUGUCAAUGAUGCUGGGUUCUGUCUUCCAUUCUUGAGAAGGGCACAUUUGUUUUCACACUUGCUGCCCCAUGGCCCCAUUAUGAUCGCCACACCUCCAUGUACCAGGUUCUCCUCCAGGGUAUAAAGAAAAAGGAAAAUCAAGGGAGCGAAUGGCCUUGUCAUCAAGCCCCUUUGCUGUGUCGGGAAGACAAAAGCUUUCCUUAUAGCCGACACAGAUUUUUUUUGCUUGCGUUUCCAUAAGCCAGAAACAAGUUGUAUGGCCAUUCCUAAACAAGUUAUUAGUGAACAGAAAAGUGUUACCAAGAUUCACACCCAGGGCUCAGUGAUGGCCGCCUUUGUGGUGAGAGAAAAAAACAAAUAGGAGAAUAAAACAGAAAGGACUAAACAGGGAAGAACAGGGUGGAGUUCAUGAGAAGGAGCUCACCAGGAAGAAGAUUUCACCAUGGACUUAGUGGAAGAUGGGAUCAUUUCACCUCAGAAGGAUACUUUUGUUGGCUGAUACCCAUUCCGCUGGCCCCAAAGAGUAGCUAACCAGGCCUAGGGAGCUCACGAUGUUCCACAGUGAGAAGAGAAAUGUGCAGUGUGAAUCUAUGGCGCCUGGAAUUGGGGUAGCCAUGUUGCCUCCAUGAGGGAUCCAGGUUGGAGAUCUAGACUGAGAACCUGUGCUCAGAUGAAGGGACAGAAUUGGAGCCAAGAUCUUGAUUUCAAUGUAACUGUGGCACACGUGACUUCUAGACUUUUUUCAGUUACAAAUGUUAGCUAACAUGUUCUCAGGGUUGUGCAAAUGAGCUUAUUGAGCAACCAGAAGAAUGGUAACCGACAGAGAUGCAAACGGGAAGUCACCAAAAAGGGCUGCAUAGGGGUGAUAUAGUUUUGAAAAACUGCGUUGGGCCAAAUUUGACCAACACAUUCUGGCUUGAGUUGAUUGGACCUGCUGGUGUGCACUGUGGUACCCUGAUGUGAUGCUUCCAGCAGUGAGAAGGCUCUCAUCAUGGGAUACACUGUUGCCCAGCCUGACCCUUUUCUGUGAGCUUUAGGCCUGCACCAAGGUCAGACCUAGAAUUCUCAUGGACAGAGGCCUGCGGAGACAUAGGGGGAGGGGCAGUGUGCGGAGGCAUGGGGGGAGGGGCAGUGUUUUGGUUCCUCAAAUGCUCCCCCAAUGGCUGCGGGGCUUCCUCCUGUGGGAGAGGCCUUGUGUCAACAGGCAAGGUUGGCAGCUGAUCAGAAGUAGACAAGAAAGAAAUUCCAGGAAGCUCCAGAGAGCCUGGGCAGCUUUGGCAUGAAGAGCGUUGAUACCCCUGUGACAGAGGAUAAGACUAAAGCUUCAGGAGGUGGGACAAGGUGCCUGGGUCACACAGAUGAAUCUGUCCUACAAGCAUCAUGACCAUGAUCUGAGCUGUGGAUAACUCUGGAAGGAUGUGGAAGGAGAGACGACAGUGAAGUUGGAGUAUUUAUUCCUAGUCUACUGAUACAGGGUCAUUUUGGGAUCGCCAAGCCCUCCACCGAAACCCCAGCUCUGUUGGGAGUCCUCAUCUAUCUGCAGCCGCCGACGGACUUCUCUUUCCUCUUACUGUGAACUGAGGGUCCUGAUGAGUGCUUUGUGGUCCCCUGUAGUCUUGUCUUCCUUUGUGAGUAAUCCCUCUACUAAACCCUAAUCAAAUUGCCUGACUCAGGGCGGGCUGCUCCGGCGGUGCUUUGACUACCGCUGCCAUGAGCCACAAGGCUGGGUUUGAAUUCUGAUCAGGUCUCUCCCCCGGUGAAAUCACAGCACCUCACCAGGCCCCUGCAUUUUUCUGGUACAGAGAUCGGAGCAGAAACCACAGCCAGAAGAGGACAUCUUUCAACUGCAGCGCAAACCAGUGGGUUCAGGAACUAAGUCAUUUUCUGUUAAUUAUUGCGGUCCCCUCCCUGGAGCCUCAUAGAGUCCCCAGCAUGUAUAUGUCUUGAAAAAAAAAUUUGCUGCAGUUACAAAGGAAUAAAUGGGCAGCAAAAAGCUGUAAACAAUGA
Molecule: long non-coding RNA, 2152 nt
Organism: Peromyscus leucopus (white-footed mouse)
Lineage: Eukaryota; Metazoa; Chordata; Mammalia; Rodentia; Cricetidae
Exons: 3
Source: RefSeq, a predicted model, not a curated record